Molecule: ribosomal RNA, 253 nt
Filed under: uncultured bacterium
Lineage: Bacteria
Description: partial 16S ribosomal RNA
Rfam family: Bacterial small subunit ribosomal RNA
Source: RNAcentral
UACGGAGGGUGCGAGCGUUAAUCGGAAUAACUGGGCGUAAAGCGCACGCAGGCGGUCUGUCAAGUCGGAUGUGAAAUCCCCGGGCUCAACCUGGGAACUGCAUUCGAAACUGGCAGGCUGGAGUGUUGUAGAGGGGGGGGGAAGUCCAGGUGUAGCGGUGAAAUGCGUAGAGAUCUGGAGGAAUACCGGUGGCGAAGGCGGCCCCCUGGACCAAGACUGACGCUCAGGUGCGAAAGCGUGGGGAGCAAACAGG